AGAGAAGAGGCUUCAUUUUCUUUCCUCUCUCUGGUGUUACUCAUCCCACUCUAGCUUGGACACUGACUCUCCAAAGUCAGUGCUUCCCUUUUCACCUUUCCCCUCCAAGAGAGAUGUUUUCAAGGAAAGCUAAAAACUCAUAAACAUUAUUUAUGUUAACAUUUUCUUCUGUCUAGAAUUAGGGCCAAUAACUGAUGCAGUUGCUGGGCACUGCCUGGAGGAAGGUUGCAGAACGAAGGCCAGAGAGUGCAGCUGUAGAAAUUGAGCCAUGGAGGUUCCACGGUGCAUCACUGAAACCUCCUCCUUCUGCAGACUUAAAAAUCAGGAGAAGCUUGGGAAACUUCCUUUUCCUCCCUGCCCUGGAGAGAAGUGACAGGAGCGGCGGGCUGGCCCCGCUCUGCCGCCAGCCCCUCCUGGGCCCGGGCAGCUGCUGCCAGGCCGGCAGGGCAGGGGAAAGUCACGGCGACUAACAUCCAGCAGACUUGCAAGCUUCUGGGCCGGGCCCACCCCGUAAGACCAGGGGUGGGCAGGAGGCAUCCACGGUCCUGGCUCCUGAGAUUCCUGACUGCCGUUUCCCCGGGCUGUUCCAAUCUCCCGGCAUGAGUUCUUCCCCCUGCCCAUCCAUUUCAAAGCGCGGCUUUGAAAUCUGACACUGUGAGCCGCUGCCCGAGAGAAAGAAACCUGGGCGAGAUGUUAAGUCUUUCCUUGCACAGAUGAAACUCCCAAAGCCCUAACACUUCUCUGAGAACAGCCAAAGUGACUGAACCAUAAGGACACACAGCAUGAAACUGAAGUCAGUGAAGAGAGUUAAGUUCUAAGUGGGAGAAAGGAUGGAGGAGUUGCCUCGUUUAGGCUGGACUUCUCUUAUGAGCCACGGUGAGGAACUAAUGUAUUGCAAUAUCCCUUUAAACCAUGGGAAAAUAUGCACUUUGGAAGAUGAUUAUUCAGAUUUGUGGAUUUGAGCAAAGGUAUCUGAGACUGACUGAGUGAAUAUUGAAUGAGUAGCUCUGAACCUGUGAUCCUAUGAGAUGUUUGAACAGAGAGAGAUGAGGUAAGAAGCCCUUUGCACCAGUGAAGAAGUGAAAAGAGGUCUCUGUUCCAUGAGAUGAAGAAAUCCUUUGCCUUUGGAGUUGCUUGUCUUUAAAAUGACACCCCAAAAUGUCCAUGACCCAUAUGCAGCUGUGGGAGAGCUGCUAAUGGGAGGGGAAUUCACAGUUUGCGGAGGUUUUUUUCCCAGGUGGCUGCAGAUUCAUCGCAUGGUAGCCACCAGAGGACUGUUUCUUGUGGCAAUGUCACCAUGGAAGUUCCAAGAGAGACUCCUCUCCCUAAGAAUUGAUGAAAGACUAUUUUAAGUGGUGAAACUGACUGAAAAUCACAGGUUUUGUCUCUUUAUGUUGUCAGUGGGAAAGUGAACAGUUUGUGGGGAGGGAGAAGUGGUUUUGAAUUUUUAUUUUCUUCUUUUAGUGUGUGUUAAUAAACCUAUCUUUAUACCUUUAAGUUUGGGCCUGCUUUGCUUUUCUCCUAAUCCUGUCUCACAGAGGGACAAAGAGUAAACACUCAGACCACUGCACUAAAUUUGGCAAGCAGAAACAGGUGAACGUGAAACCAUUACACUAAUAUAUUUUAUUGUAAGAACUGUAGUUUUAAAAGAAAUCAUCAAGAAAUGAGUUUCCACUCCUCAAUAACCUUUGGUGUAACAAAUCAAACCAAAUCAAAAAUAAAUCCCCAAAGAAAAUGCCCAAUGAUGUAUUUAAGAAGUAGGAGAUUUACAGAACUGAUUGGAAAGGAGUUCUGAAGGUCUGCUCCACCACCCUCCCUGCCUCUUCAAAGUAGGACCAACUUUAAAGCUGGAUCUGACUUUCAAGUUAGCAGGUUGCUUGGUUUCCUUUUGAAAAUUUCCAAGACUGGAUAUUUUACAGCCUCUUCCAGAACUCU
Long non-coding RNA from Prinia subflava (tawny-flanked prinia), 1935 nucleotides. RefSeq lists it as uncharacterized. The record is from RefSeq and is a predicted model, not a curated record. The transcript has 2 exons. Lineage: Eukaryota; Metazoa; Chordata; Aves; Passeriformes; Cisticolidae.